UCCGUGGCGAAGCGGAAUCUGAAGGAAGUCGGAGGCAAAUCUCCCCCAAGGAACACGAACUGCAUACAAGGCUAACUAAGUACAUUGGUGUGAGAGGUCGGGGUUAAU
Bacillus sp. FJAT-27986 is the source of this 108-nucleotide non-coding RNA. The record is from Rfam. NCBI's taxonomy places the organism in Bacteria, Bacillati, Bacillota, Bacilli, Caryophanales, Bacillaceae.